ACAGUUGUCGGUAGGUCUACUCUAGAACUUUCUACAGGUGUCGGUAGGUCUACUCUAGAACUUUCUACAGGUGUCGGUAGGUCUACUCUAGAACUUUCUACAGGUGUCGGUAGGUCUACUCUAGUUGUCGGUAGGUCUACUCUAGAACUUUCUCCAAUUGUCGGUAGGUCUGCUCUAGAACUUUCUCCAGUUGUCGGUAGGUCUGCUCUAGAACUUUCUCCAGUUGUCAGUAGGUCUACUCUAGAACUUUCUCCAGUUGUCAGUAGGUCUGCUCUGUAACUUUCUCCAGUUGUCGGUAGCUCUACUCUGGAACUUUCUCCAGUUGUCAGUAGGUCUGCUCUGUAACUUUCUCCAGUUGUCGGUAGCUCUACUCUGGAACUUUCUCCAGCUGUCGGUAGGUCUACUCUGGAACUUUCUCCAGGUGUCGGUAGGUCUACUCUGGAACUCUCUCCAGUUGUUGGUAGGUCUGCGGCCCGCCUCGUCGGUCAUAUUGGAGGGGAAACACUGACUGGUGUGAACAGUUUAGAGUCCUAGAACCAAUCAUUGGUUCUCUGGAUGUGUUUCUGUUUCUGAUAAUCCACCAGAUAAACUCUA
Molecule: long non-coding RNA, 594 nt
Organism: Acanthochromis polyacanthus (spiny chromis)
Lineage: Eukaryota; Metazoa; Chordata; Actinopteri; Pomacentridae
Exons: 4
Source: RefSeq, a predicted model, not a curated record